UCGUUCUCGAGGCGGAACAGAAAUGAUUGAAUUUUAUCGUCUGAUAAAUCUGCCAGUCCAAAAUUUUUAAUAAAUUUUAAGAUCAUAACUUCACUGUCUGUACUGUUUAUUUAAGGGCGUAUGUCAACAACACGAUACAAAAAAAAUUCUCCUCCGGCGUUACGAUAAACUGUGAAUUUUUUCGAUUGUGAAUAAAAAUAUGUACAGGAAGAACUUUUGAAUGGAUAUUUAAAAACGACGAUUGAAAAAUAAUAGAACAAUAGUAAGCUCAAACAUAACCUUUAUGAGAAACAAUUGAAUCGAAUAAUAACAUUCAAGUGUCUGCCUUUCUACAAAUUUUGAUUCGUGUUCCAACCUAAAUAUCAGAUUAGUCGAGCAACGAGGCAAUCAAGUUCAUUAAUAGCUGUUGAAUACUAAGUCGCUGUAAUCGGACCCUGCUUUAACGUUGAUAUUAAUUAUGGCCUGGAUAGGUACAGCAAUAUCAGCCGUGAAUGCGGUCGCCGGAUUACUUGAUCCUGUAGCAGCUAUCGCAGGGCUCUUUACUGGGACCAGUGGAGCAAAAGAGGUGAUAAAAGAAACGCUCGAAUGUGUACAGCAAAAUGUGACAACAGCCGUGAUUGGAUGUGUAUGUGAGUGUGUUACAGGAAUUGCCUUCGUUGGCAGCAACUUCGCAGACAAAGUGAAUGUAAUGAAUGGGACGAACGUUAUGCAAAACUUUAUUUUCAGUUAAUAAUUGUUCAAUGCCUUGAAGUUAUUGCCGUUACCCCGAAAAAAUGCUUUGCUCCGCGUACCUCUACAUUCCUACUGCUUAUAUUAACCAUGUUUUCAAAAUUCUAAUUAAUUCAAAACUUUGCUAACAAUGUUAUUGCAAUUCCAAAGACAAAACGACCUAUCCGCAUUAAUUUUAUGAUUAGUAUGAUUGUUCUACUUUUCCCUACGCUCGUUCAAGUUACUCAAUGUA
Molecule: long non-coding RNA, 961 nt
Organism: Trichogramma pretiosum
Lineage: Eukaryota; Metazoa; Arthropoda; Insecta; Hymenoptera; Trichogrammatidae
Exons: 2
Source: RefSeq, a predicted model, not a curated record